RNAcentral lists this ribosomal RNA (254 nucleotides) under uncultured bacterium. RNAcentral describes it as "partial 16S ribosomal RNA". It matches the Rfam family "Bacterial small subunit ribosomal RNA", at positions 524 to 776 of the family's 1533-position model. The record is from RNAcentral.
UACGUAGGGGGCUAGCGUUGUCCGGAAUCAUUGGGCGUAAAGAGCGUGUAGGCGGUCCGGUAAGUCCGCUGUGAAAGUCGGGGGCUCAACCCUCGAAUGCCGGUGGAUACUGUCGGGCUAGAGUGCGGAAGAGGCGACUGGAAUUCCUGGUGUAGCGGUGAAAUGCGUAGAUAUCAGGAGGAACACCUAAGGCGAAAAGCAGGUUUCUGGGCCAACACUGACACUGAGCUGCGAAAGCUAGGGGAGCAAACAGG